CCGCCACUAGCUCAUACGGAUAGAGCUGCAGCCUUCUAAGUUGCAGGUACGAGGUUCAACUCCUCGGUGGCGGACCA
Molecule: transfer RNA, 77 nt
Filed under: Salmonella enterica
Lineage: Bacteria; Pseudomonadati; Pseudomonadota; Gammaproteobacteria; Enterobacterales; Enterobacteriaceae
Description: tRNA-Arg
Rfam family: tRNA
About the family: Transfer RNA (tRNA) molecules are approximately 80 nucleotides in length. Their secondary structure includes four short double-helical elements and three loops (D, anti-codon, and T loops).
Source: RNAcentral